Molecule: ribosomal RNA, 786 nt
Filed under: Pseudomonas anguilliseptica
Lineage: Bacteria; Pseudomonadati; Pseudomonadota; Gammaproteobacteria; Pseudomonadales; Pseudomonadaceae
Description: bacterial SSU rRNA
Rfam family: Bacterial small subunit ribosomal RNA
Source: RNAcentral
GUCGAGCGGUAGAGGGAAGCUUGCUUCUCUUGAGAGCGGCGGACGGGUGAGUAAUGCCUAGGAAUCUGCCUAGUGGUGGGGGAUAACGUUCGGAAACGGACGCUAAUACCGCAUACGUCCUACGGGAGAAAGCGGGGGACCUUCGGGCCUCGCGCCAUUAGAUGAGCCUAGGUCGGAUUAGCUAGUUGGUGAGGUAAUGGCUCACCAAGGCUACGAUCCGUAACUGGUCUGAGAGGAUGAUCAGUCACACUGGAACUGAGACACGGUCCAGACUCCUACGGGAGGCAGCAGUGGGGAAUAUUGGACAAUGGGCGAAAGCCUGAUCCAGCCAUGCCGCGUGUGUGAAGAAGGUCUUCGGAUUGUAAAGCACUUUAAGUUGGGAGGAAGGGUAGUAACUUAAUACGUUGCUACUUUGACGUUACCGACAGAAUAAGCACCGGCUAACUUCGUGCCAGCAGCCGCGGUAAUACGAAGGGUGCAAGCGUUAAUCGGAAUUACUGGGCGUAAAGCGCGCGUAGGUGGUUCAGUAAGUUGGAUGUGAAAUCCCCGGGCUCAACCUGGGAACUGCAUCCAAAACUGCUGAGCUAGAGUACGGUAGAGGGUAGUGGAAUUUCCUGUGUAGCGGUGAAAUGCGUAGAUAUAGGAAGGAACACCAGUGGCGAAGGCGACUACCUGGACUGAUACUGACACUGAGGUGCGAAAGCGUGGGGAGCAAACAGGAUUAGAUACCCUGGUAGUCCACGCCGUAAACGAUGUCAACUAGCCGUUGGGAGUCUUGAACUCUUA